CCAGCCACGAGAUCUUCAAUUUAAGCUGCUCCUCGCCACUUGCCCAUCAACCAGCAUCUCUCGGUCAACACCUGCAAGAACGAAGCCGUUGGUUGACCGCUUGAAGCCCACGACUCCACCGAGUUCCUUCACGUUGCCACCUGCCCGCUCCUCCUUCUGCUUCGGUCAUCAAACGAAACCGCCGAAGCCCAAGUCCAACGUCUUCAGCCCGAGCAUAUCGUGGAGUCCACGAAGACAGCGUCCAUGAGCAGCUCCCAUCUUUAGUCUUCCCCUGUGGCGUGCCCUCAGCUCCACGCCAGCACGCCAGUCAACUCCAACGCCCACGGAAGACCACCGAUUCAACCAAGUCUUCAUCUGCGAAAUCCUCCGAGCAUCCUCACGCCGCCAGCAACAUCCACCGAGCAACACCACCGAAGAGAAGCCGCACGUAUCCACCGAAUUCUGCCGUUUGUCCGUGCUUCCCUCCACGCGUCCGAGCCCCAACUCAUUCGGUCCAUCAUCUCGCCGUGAAGCCUCGAGAUCCACCGAGUUGCCAACCGUUGCCAGCG
Molecule: long non-coding RNA, 548 nt
Filed under: Eucalyptus grandis
Lineage: Eukaryota; Viridiplantae; Streptophyta; Magnoliopsida; Myrtales; Myrtaceae
Description: long non-coding RNA (EGRA_LNC004114)
Source: RNAcentral